Molecule: ribosomal RNA, 745 nt
Filed under: Bacillus sp. DX-2010
Lineage: Bacteria; Bacillati; Bacillota; Bacilli; Caryophanales; Bacillaceae
Description: bacterial SSU rRNA
Rfam family: Bacterial small subunit ribosomal RNA
Source: RNAcentral
CCGACGGAGCACCGCCGCGUAAGUGAUGAAAAUUUUCGGACCGUAAAACUUUGUUGUUAGGGAAGAACAAGUACCGUUCGAAUAGGGCGGUACCUUGACGGUACCUAACCAGAAAGCCACGGCUAACUACGUGCCAGCAGCCGCGGUAAUACGUAGGUGGCAAGCGUUGUCCGGAAUUAUUGGGCGUAAAGCCCGCGCAGGAGGUUUCUUAAGUCUGAUGUGAAAGCCCCCGGCUCAACCGGGGAGGGUCAUUGGAAACUGGGGAACUUGAGUGCAGAAGAGGAGAGUGGAAUUCCACGUGUAGCGGUGAAAUGCGUAGAGAUGUGGAGGAACACCAGUGGCGAAGGCGACUCUCUGGUCUGUAACUGACGCUGAGGCGCGAAAGCGUGGGGAGCGAACAGGAUUAGAUACCCUGGUAGUCCACGCCGUAAACGAUGAGUGCUAAGUGUUAGAGGGUUUCCGCCCUUUAGUGCUGCAGCAAACGCAUUAAGCACUCCGCCUGGGGAGUACGGUCGCAAGACUGAAACUCAAAGGAAUUGACCGCACAAGCGGUGGAGCAUGUGGUUUAAUUCGAAGCAACGCGAAGAACCUUACCAGGUCCCAGGUCUUGACAUCCUCUGACAACCCUAGAGAUAGGGCUUCCCCUUCGGGGGCAGAGUGACAGGUGGUGCAUGGUUGUCGUCAGCUCGUGUCGUGAGAUGUUGGGUUAAGUCCCGCAACGAGCGCAACCCUUGAUAUUAUUUGG